This 497-nucleotide ribosomal RNA is filed under the name uncultured bacterium. RNAcentral describes it as "partial 16S ribosomal RNA". It matches the Rfam family "Bacterial small subunit ribosomal RNA", at positions 28 to 507 of the family's 1533-position model. The record is from RNAcentral.
GAUGAACGCUGGCGGCGUGCCUAAUACAUGCAAGUCGAGCGGACGGACGAGACGCUUGCUUCUUUGUUGUUAGUGGCGGACGGGUGUGUCACACGUGGAUACCCUACCUAUCAGACUGGUAUCACUUCGGGAAUCCGGCGCUAAUACCGGAUAAUCUUUUGAACCGUGUGGUUCAAAAGUGAAAUACGGUCUUUCUGUCUCUUCUCGCUGCAUCCGAGCUGUAUUAGGUAGUUGGUAAGGUAACGGCUUACGACGGCAAGUAUGCCUAACCGACCUGCGAGGGGGAUCGGCCACACUGGAACUGGGACGCGGUCCAUGCGCCUACGGGAGGCAGCAGUAGGGAAUGUUACGCAAUGGGCGAAAGCCUUACGGAGCAACGCCGCGUGAGAGAUGAAGGUCUUCGGAUCGUAAAACUCUGUUAUUAGGUAAGAACAGAUGUGUAAGUAACUGUGCACAGCUUGACGGUACCUAAUCAGAAAGCCACGGCUAACUACGUG